AGCUCAGUACUGAAGGUGGGUGUGCAUUUCUGCCCCUAAAAAAAGCCCAUAAAUGGGUAAUGCAUACAGAUAUACAGAUUGAAGCAGUGUGGCAGCCAGGAGGUGGGGAAGGGGAUGGCUGAAGUGGAUAUAUGGAGACGAAGACCAUGACAAGGGGUAUCACUGCUAAAGAUGGCCUGGGCAUUACAUCUGCACAGCGAUGGGAGGACACCACGAGAGCCCAGCUCUGUGAACCCUCAGUGUCACCUACCAACCACAAGUGAGCCUCUGCAUGACAGCAAGACCCCCAAACCAAUAGCAGUGGGCAAGGCUUUUGUGGUGACUUGCAAGAGAAGUCAAUGUCAGAAGGAAUGUAAUGAAAUAUUCAUUCCUUCUGUUAAGGAAAUUCAGAGAAAGGCAGGAAGAAGGAACCAAAUGUGAGAUCAAGACAGGAAGAUGUGUCCUGCUCAUUUCAUUUGCAUUUCUGUAGCCCAGAGCAGGGAGAGGAGAGCUCUGGCUCCUCACCAUCAGGCUGAGGACAGCAGCAGAAGGAAAGUCCCAAAGAGCAUGAAGAGACAAGAAACUCCUCCUGAACCUGCAAGGGAGAAAAAUGUGGGUUUAUCUGAAUUUCAGCAAAGGGAGAACAUUGUGACAAGAAAUACGUCUUUAUUGUCUCUCACAUAUGAGGGCACAGAAGCAGGCAAGAAGCCUGUCUACUGAUUUUCCCCCUAAGUCCUGCUGCCCGCUCUGGCAGCCCCAUCUCACCGCCUGCCCGGUGCCUCCCAUCAUUGAGCAGGAGCUGCCUUCUGAGCCCAGCACCAACAAAAUCAGCUUGGAGGAGGCACAUCCUUGUUCCCCCUCGAGGCAGCAGGACACUGGCGAUGCUGGAGGCAACGCCCACCUCCGUUCCUUCGCCUCGCUCCAUGCGAUUACCGAGAGGCACUGGCUGGCUGAAUUAAUGCUCAAGUGUUCCCCAUCAAAAAUGUUCUACGGGAGUGCAAAGCACUAAUAAAAUUGUUCCCCAUAUGGGAUUUUC
Cygnus olor (mute swan) is the source of this 1015-nucleotide long non-coding RNA. RefSeq lists it as uncharacterized. Lineage: Eukaryota; Metazoa; Chordata; Aves; Anseriformes; Anatidae. The record is from RefSeq and is a predicted model, not a curated record. The transcript has 4 exons.